Molecule: ribosomal RNA, 398 nt
Filed under: Limosilactobacillus reuteri
Lineage: Bacteria; Bacillati; Bacillota; Bacilli; Lactobacillales; Lactobacillaceae
Description: bacterial SSU rRNA
Rfam family: Bacterial small subunit ribosomal RNA
Source: RNAcentral
GAGACUGCCGGUGACAAACCGGAGGAAGGUGGGGACGACGUCAGAUCAUCAUGCCCCUUAUGACCUGGGCUACACACGUGCUACAAUGGACGGUACAACGAGUCGCAAGCUCGCGAGAGUAAGCUAAUCUCUUAAAGCCGUUCUCAGUUCGGACUGUAGGCUGCAACUCGCCUACACGAAGUCGGAAUCGCUAGUAAUCGCGGAUCAGCAUGCCGCGGUGAAUACGUUCCCGGGCCUUGUACACACCGCCCGUCACACCAUGGGAGUUUGUAACGCCCAAAGUCGGUGGCCUAACCUUUAUGGAGGGAGCCGCCUAAGGCGGGACAGAUGACUGGGGUGAAGUCGUAACAAGGUAGCCGUAGGAGAACCUGCGGCUGGAUCACCUCCUUUCUAAGGAA